This 253-nucleotide ribosomal RNA is filed under the name uncultured bacterium. RNAcentral's name for it is "partial 16S ribosomal RNA". It matches the Rfam family "Bacterial small subunit ribosomal RNA", at positions 524 to 776 of the family's 1533-position model. The record is from RNAcentral.
UACGAAGGGGGCUAGCGUUGCUCGGAAUCACUGGGCGUAAAGCGCACGUAGGCGGCUUUUUAAGUCAGAGGUGAAAUCCUGGAGCUCAACUCCAGAACUGCCUUUGAUACUGAGAAGCUUGAGUCCGGGAGAGGUGAGUGGAACUGCGAGUGUAGAGGUGAAAUUCGUAGAUAUUGGGAGGAACACCAGUGGCGAAGGCGGCUCACUGGACCGGAACUGACGCUGAUGCGCGAAAGCGUGGGGAGCAAACGGG